Molecule: transfer RNA, 77 nt
Filed under: Cordylochernes scorpioides
Lineage: Eukaryota; Metazoa; Arthropoda; Arachnida; Pseudoscorpiones; Chernetidae
Description: tRNA-Thr
Source: RNAcentral
UGCCCAGGGAUGGGAAUCGAACCCACAGUGUUCUGGGCUUACCGGGCAAAUGUCAUGUCCACUAGGCUACCCUGGAC